CAGAAUGACAUAUCCCUUAAUAGGAUAAUUUUACUAAGAUAUAGUAGGCUAUAUAUCUUAUAUACACACAUUCUUUAUUAAUGAGGUGAGAUUUCAAAAAAUUAAUCCCACAAGUUGAGACACCCAAAACAUAACAUGCAGCACCAUGCUAUAAAGACAAUAUAUGUCCCUUAAUAGAAUUAUGAUAAUUUUAUUGGUUUCCUUAAUACUAUAUUUGGGAGGAGGUUUUUAGAGAUAAAUAAAGGUUUAAAAUUAGUUCUUAUGUCUAAUUGCUAUACUUCAAAAAGUCAAAUUGUUUUUUAAUUCUUUCACGUGAUUUCUCUCAAAUCUGUCUUGAUCUUAACGCAUAAAUGAUGAAAGGCUUAUAACUUAAAAUAGUCUAUAAUGGAAGGUGAUGAGGUUUGGAGUAGUUGCAAAUUUAGGAAAAAGCCAAAUACCUCCACACCAUUGUAAAUUAUCACCACAAACUUACGUUUCUUUUCUUUUGGUGACUGUAAUUUCAUUGUUUCUUUCAUCUAUUGGCUUCGUCUUCACGUUCUAUCAUCCUCAUUGAAUAAAAUUUCCAUAUGUGUCUGCCUUGGAUUUUGGACCGUCUAUUUUAAAUUUUCAAAUAAAAUGUCAUUAGUUUAUUGUAUUUGUUGUUGGUGUCCACGUAAAGAAAAAAAAACUAAGUUAUGAAAAUAUAAAAUAAGGAAAAACUAAGCUAGAUUGGUUUAAAUCAUUUUGAUGGAAAUAAUCUCAAGUUUAAUAUAAAGACUGAUAUCAUUAGUCAUCCAUUUAUUUUGGGUCAAAAU
Molecule: unclassified non-coding RNA, 794 nt
Filed under: Hevea brasiliensis (rubber tree)
Lineage: Eukaryota; Viridiplantae; Streptophyta; Magnoliopsida; Malpighiales; Euphorbiaceae
Source: RNAcentral